Molecule: long non-coding RNA, 1224 nt
Organism: Phyllopteryx taeniolatus (common seadragon)
Lineage: Eukaryota; Metazoa; Chordata; Actinopteri; Syngnathiformes; Syngnathidae
Exons: 2
Source: RefSeq, a predicted model, not a curated record
CUAAUGCAUUUGGCACAGCAUAAGCAGUAGGUCAAUAUUACGUGCCGUCACAGUACAGUGAAAAUAUAGAAAAUCCAAACGUUGUUUUAACGGUAACUUGUCAACACAAAACUAACUUUUAUUUUUUUUUGGUCUGAUACAUUUAAUUUCAUGAUACAUUGUUUUAAUUGGACAGUAGCGAUAUAUUAUAUGAAUCCCUUUAAGGGUCACUCAUGAAAUACUGUAAUAUACUUGAAACUCUUUAUUAAUUAGUUUGUCACUGUUUUGUGACUCGUUACUUAGUAACAGUUUAUAAAUGCCUUUAUGGAUCAGAAUAUAUAGACAUCAUAUUCAAUUGACGUGACAUAUAGUUAUUGGGUAAUAUAAAUUGCUUUAUUUCUGCGGAAAAUCUCAUCCAGGUAAUGCUAAUCCACAAAGGCUGAAUCAAGGCAAAAAAAAACAAAAAAAAAAGUCAUCGUUUGCAGAACAUUUGCUAUAAACACUUUGACGAGUAAGUCGCACCUAGUUCUUUCUCUAACACAAACAAUCACAUUAAGCUCCACAUCCUGGUGAUCAUUUUAAUUUGCAAAGCCAUUACAUAUUAAGAAGCCAUGGUGGGCGACUGGUUAACACAUCUGCCUCACAGUUCUGAGGACCGGGGUUCAAAGCCCGACCCGCCGAUGUGGAGUUUGCAUAUUCUCCCCAUGCCUGCGGGGGUUUUCUCCGUACUCCGGUUUCCUCCCACAUCCCGAAAACAUGCAUGUUCAGGGUGUACCCCGCCUCUCGCCCACAGAUAGCUGGGAUAGGCUCCAGCACUCCCGCGACCCUAGUGAGGAGAAGCGGAACAGAAAAUGGAUGGAUGGAUGGAUUACCUAUUAAAUGGCAAUUUUGGCAAGCUCUUCAAUGGUAUGGUGGUAAAACUGCAACUUAAAAAACAAAACUACAACUAAUUGUUCUUAUUAUAGUAUACUGGUGGUGUUGUGACAACUUUGCAUGACUAUUUCAUUGUUUGUAACUGGACACGAUCACCACUCUAAAAACAGACUUCUUUCUCUGUAUACUUUUGUUUAAAAACAAUUGUCACAAAACUUCUCUUUUCAUUACAGCCCGAACAACUAGUACAUCGUUGCAUUUCCUAAUUUAGUAUUAAGAUGUUUUCUUCUUUCUUUAUCCAUUGUAAAAGGUUGACUAGGUCGCGGUUACUGAAAAAUAAGUACACAAUAAAGGCGUAACAUUAUGACAAUA